This 522-nucleotide long non-coding RNA is filed under the name Monodelphis domestica (gray short-tailed opossum). RNAcentral describes it as "lncRNA (ENSMODG00000040316.1)". The record is from RNAcentral. Lineage: Eukaryota; Metazoa; Chordata; Mammalia; Didelphimorphia; Didelphidae.
GCUGUUUAUCCUUCAUUUAUGAAAAACAAUGACAUCUCAAUGCCAUUCAUCAUUCCUUAAAAUUCCUUCCUAGGUUUUGAAAAAUUAUUUAAAUACCAAGAAGUCAGCAAUUGUAAUCAUCCACAUGAGAGAUAAACCUGAACUAGAGGAGAAGAUGUGUGAGUGGAAAUAAAGAGACAUAUGAAAUAUGAAGGUUGCUUCUAGAGUCCUAAUUUGAGGAAUAGAGUACAAAAGAGAGACAAGAAGAAAUAUUUAAUAAGAAUCUCCUAUGCUCCAGACACUCUAACAGACUUGAUCUCAAUCCAGAUAAGACAUCAGUCUUCAGGACACCAGGAGUCAUGUGGGACAAGAAGCAAGCAUCUUGCUAUAUUCCAGAGAGCCAAAAAUGGGGCAUCCUUAUACAGAUAAGUCUUGGACCUUGUUCUUAACCCAAUCAAAUGGUGGAAAAUAAGACAGAAAUGGAUUUUCAAAACUUUCCAUUUAAAAAAUAAAGAGGGAUGAGCUCAAAUUAUAAUUUGAGUU